GCUGUGGGAUGGCGGCUGGCCUGGGCGGGCCGCGUGGCCCCCCAACGCCGCGGCGCCAGGCAGGGCAGCCGCCACCGUGAGCCUGGAGAAGCGUCCGCGGCGGCGUCCGAGGCUCUCUGACCGUGAGCGCGUGGAGGGCGGCGACCUGGCCUCGGCCACAAUCUCCGGGGGACCGCGGGAGGGCCGUAGGCGGCCUUCGGCCUGCGUCCCCUUGCCCGGAAAUGGGGAGAGUCGUUAAAUGGAUUUGUGUUUAUUGAUCAUCGACUGUAUGCCGGGGAGUUUUUAAUAGAAGCGGUUUGGGGUUUUUUUCGUGUGAGUAAAAAGGCUGCGCGGUAUAACUGCCUUUAUGCCUUCCCUGCCACGGUGUAAAAUUAGUGUAGAAGCAAAGCGCCAUUUAAGGUGCAGAUGAUUUAAAACGUUUCCAGGUGCAGCACUUGGCGGGUAUUGAGUAUCGCCAGUUCUGCAGGUGAAGAUGGAUGCUUGAAGCAUAGACUGCUGCUAGCUGAGAACCACGUGGGAACACCAAGGUCACUUAAGGAUGUCCUUGGUGAGGAUUUUGAAAAUUUGAUCUUCGCAAGAGUUGAUUGGAUCGCUUAGAAAUUCUGGGAGCGUGAGGAGUACUGAAAUAAUUGCCUUUGAAUGGCCCAUAAACAUUUAAGACAAUGGGGAU
Long non-coding RNA from Propithecus coquereli (Coquerel's sifaka), 670 nucleotides. RefSeq lists it as uncharacterized. The record is from RefSeq and is a predicted model, not a curated record. NCBI's taxonomy places the organism in Eukaryota, Metazoa, Chordata, Mammalia, Primates, Indriidae. The transcript has 3 exons.